RNAcentral lists this ribosomal RNA (253 nucleotides) under uncultured bacterium. RNAcentral describes it as "partial 16S ribosomal RNA". It matches the Rfam family "Bacterial small subunit ribosomal RNA", at positions 524 to 776 of the family's 1533-position model. The record is from RNAcentral.
UACGUAGGGGGCAAGCGUUGUCCGGAUUUAUUGGGCGUAAAGAGCGUGUAGGCGGCCAAAUAGGUCGGUUGUGAAAACUCGAGGCUCAACCUCGAGCUGUCGGUGGAAACUGUCUGGCUAGAGUCCGGAAGAGGAGAGUGGAAUUCCUGGUGUAGCGGUGAAAUGCGCAGAUAUCAGGAAGAACACCUAUGGCGAAGGCAGCUCUCUGGGACGGUACUGACGCUGAGACGCGAAAGCGUGGGGAGCGAACAGG